UCCCACCCUCUUCUUCCAUCCCGCCGUCGACGCAUGAAACCGGAGGAGAAUCUGCCGGAGAUGGAGGUGGUGGUGCUGGAGGAUCUUACCAUCAUGCUUGCCCGAAAGAUCAACUCGGCGACGCGGCAAAAACAUCAUGUCAGAGCGAAGACCACAAAUGAGGAAGCGCUCAAGAAGCAGAAGGCCGGCGGAGGGCGUGUUGGGUGGCGCACGUGGCGGUGAGCAUGCCGGCUGCGGACACGAUGGAGGUCGCGGCCUAGGCCGUGCUGGUCCGAUGGUGGCCCCCACCAUCAGACGCCGCCAUGGCCGGAGCAUUGCAAGGCUUUGUACUUCUACGCCGCCAAGCAGCUCGGUAGGUAGUCCACCACAACCGCCUCCGGGCAAGUGCCUUACAUCAUCGACGUAAAUGUGGUGUUGCUGCUCUUCUUGGAGUGUUCUUUGCCGCAGCUCGUCCGGGCGGGGAGCAGAUGGGCGACCGUACGUUGUUCGAUGCUAUGCCUUAAGCGGGGGAGAAGGUGUACGACGACGGGGAGAGGCGGAUGUUCGACAUCAUCCACGAUAGAGGCGGAGGAGGAUGUGACUAUGAGGACAGGCAGGUGGAAGACUCGGAUCCCACCAAGUUCGGCAACUACACCCAUACACAGCAGGGCUACACUCAGCCGGGAAUGUAGCAGUCCUACACCCAGACCAGCACAGGCACAGACCAGCAAGAUUGGGACGUCGGACAGGAGGAGGAGGAGGACGAUGAUCCGGAUGAUUUAGCCGGCGUUCCGAAGAAGAGGGUUAGAGGAGAAAACUUCAACAUGCGGGAGGACGAGUUAUUGUGUGAUGCAUGGUUGACCACUAGCCUCAAUCCGAUCCAUGACAUGGAGCAAAAGGGAAUAACUUUUUCGGCCAACAUUCACACAUGAUUCCAUGAACACAAGCAUUUGGCCCCUACUCCGACGUGGUCAUUCGUAACAGUGAAUAAAAGUCCAUCAACCAUAGAUGGUACACCAUCCAAGAGGUCGUCGAAGUAUUGCGGCCACUUGGCACAUCUCAUCGCAUAGUGUCCUAGUGGUGCGCAAAUCACCGAGCAACCUUCUCGUGCGUGGUUGGAGAAGAAAAAUUUCACCGUCAUGCAUUGUUGGUUGAAGUUGAAUGGGCAACCGAAGUGGAACCUAUAUAUAGCUAAGACCGCCGCCCAAGCCACCAAGGAAGAAACCGGUGACCCAACCGACUGAAUAAAAGAACCACCGAAGAAGGUUAGAAGAGGGUUUCGGGAAAUGAAGUGGGAGGAGGAGAGGGCGAAGCGAGAAGGUGCGGCGUCCAUGCUGAUGGAGAGGUACGAGGAUAUCUUCUUGAAGGAGGAGGGAUACGUCAAGUGCUUGGAAAUCAAGGAGGAAAAAAGGCGGAGAGGUUCAAAUUGUUGAUGGAGGUGACUGAGAAGAAGCUCAAGCUUGAAGAGAAGAGGGCCUUGAUCAAGGAAAAGAUGGACAUGCUCAAGAAGAAGAAGGCGAUGCUCGAAGAAAAGAAGGUGAAGAUCAUAGACGAUGCGGAGGACGCCAAGAUGUUGUCCUUAGAUUUGGAGUCUUUGAUGCCGACAUAAGAGUUAUUGUGCAAGCCUUCCACUACAAGAUGUUGCAGCUACAGAAAGAUGAGUUGGAGGUGGCGGAGAAGGAGGAGGAGGCGACGGAUAAGGAGGUGGAGGUUGCCUACACUGCGUCGACGACACCUUGCGCGCGGAGGCUUGGAUUACCGGUCUGGCGGGGAAGAAAAUCAAAAGCUUUUGCAUGAACUGUCGGACUAAUAUUCUUUUGUGAUCGGGCAUGUAAAAACUAAGCGUACUUGCCUUUGUUUGGUUGUGGUCGGGCA
Molecule: long non-coding RNA, 1854 nt
Organism: Triticum dicoccoides
Lineage: Eukaryota; Viridiplantae; Streptophyta; Magnoliopsida; Poales; Poaceae
Exons: 2
Source: RefSeq, a predicted model, not a curated record